CUUAUAAUAAGUCAAAGCUUUGUGACUAUUAACAAAAUUAAGCUAUUGGAAGGAACAGUUCCCGUCAAACACCUUUGGCCAAAGUGAAAACGAGAAGAACAAUUUGGAAAAUGUAAGCAAAUUCUCCCAGCCUUAGUGAACACCUUUGGCGCCAACCUAUAAGCUAAACAGCUGAUAUGGAAUUCCCAUAACCCCUUUUUCCUCAAAAUUUUCCUAUAUAAACAUAUCUGAGAUAUUUUUCUCUCUCUUCAGACUAACUUUUCCUUUAAUUUGUUGUGUACAAGUUACUUUCUCCCUCUCCUAAAGUAGGAUUUGGCCUGCAGAGCCAGAACAUUAGAGCCUUAUCAAGCCGCUUCCUAUUACUAAUUGACUCCAAGAACCUUCAGUUAUGAACAGUCCAAAAGCUGAAACCUGAAAACUCGAUUGAUUAUUUUGUACGCACCUGCUUGCUAAGGUUACCAAGGCCAUCCAUCCAAACGAGAAAGUGCAUCAGCUGCUGCCAGUAACAAAAUUAAACCCUGUAAAGUAGUCGAUGUAUUAGACUAUAAUUUUGAUUUUGGAAAAAUCAUUAUAUUUAAAUACUUAUUUGGGCCCCAACAAGGCAACACUUAUAAAAUAAAAAUUCAUAUCAAUACCACAACAAGGCAACUUUUACAUUUAAGUAAAGUAUUCAUUAUACUUCUUUUAUUAGGGUCAUCGAGACAUCAAUAUCGAGGCAUCAUAUCGCAAGUAAACUCACAGCAUCGUUAGGGUCAUUUAGGCAUCAAUAUUUGAAGAAUAUUCAAGGCAUCAGUAGGGUCAUCGAGGCAUUAAUAUUGCAAGCAAAUUUAAGUCAUCAUUAGGAUCAUUGAGGCAUCAGUAUCACAUAAAAAAGGCAUCAAUAUCAACAUUAAUAUUUAUGCCUCAAUAAUUUAGUUAAGGCCAUCGAGGCAUUAUGAAUGAAAAUUCAUUUCGAUAUCGCAAUAAGGCAACUUUUACAUUUGAGUGAAGUAUUUAUAUUUCUUCAUUUUAUCAGGGUCGUCGAGGCAUCAAUAUCACAAGUAAAUUCAAGGCAUCUUUAGGGUCAUCGAAGCUACAAUAUAGCAAAUAAACUCAAGGAAUCAUUAGGGUCAUCGUAGCAUCAAUGCUGCAAGUAAAUUCAAGGCAUCUAUAUUUCAAAUAAAUUCAAGGCAGCAUUAGGGUCAUAGAGGCAUAAAUAUCUAAAUAAUGCAACUACACAGUUCUCCCUAUGUAUCCAAACAAGAGCUCCAAAAAAUUAAACCAAUUAUAAUUUCAUAUACAAUUGAAAUUAUAAUGAGCCUCAAAAAGCAAACCAGACAAUAUGACUACUUUAAAUUUGUUUGCAAAAUAAUCAAUAGAAUAAGAAAUCCUGGUCAAUUUAUCAUACCUUACGUCACCUACAUUAGCUCUCAUUUAAAUGUUAAAGGGCAUUUAUUGUGUACUGAACUAACUUAAUAUAAAACCGACCUUAUCGUAGUAUGAUGAGGGAAAAUAAAAAUUACAUGUAUUCAGUAUAUAAAGAUCGUUGUACUAUACCUCAUUGUUAUUAUUAGAAGAAUUUUUCCACAGCCAUCAAAGAUGAAGAGCCGUUGGAUAACAACUGCUGCACUGUGACCCGCACGUGCCUCCUGGCAUUCUCCUCUUAUAAUUGAACAUUCCCCCACAUUUGCAAAGUUAAAAACAAUGCAACAUCAGAAAGUUAAAAAGAGUGCAUCAAAUAGUGUAUUGCUAGUUAGAAUUUCUGAAAUGGAUAUAUAUAAAAAAGAUAUGAGAAAGAAUACUCAC
Molecule: long non-coding RNA, 1785 nt
Filed under: Trifolium pratense (red clover)
Lineage: Eukaryota; Viridiplantae; Streptophyta; Magnoliopsida; Fabales; Fabaceae
Description: long non-coding RNA (TPRA_LNC003516)
Source: RNAcentral